RNAcentral lists this non-coding RNA (24 nucleotides) under Arabidopsis thaliana (thale cress). The record is from RNAcentral. Lineage: Eukaryota; Viridiplantae; Streptophyta; Magnoliopsida; Brassicales; Brassicaceae.
UAAAGAUGGGUGCUAUCGGAGUGA